This 264-nucleotide signal recognition particle RNA is filed under the name Chloroflexota bacterium. RNAcentral describes it as "Chloroflexi bacterium (groundwater metagenome) signal recognition particle sRNA large type". It matches the Rfam family "Bacterial large signal recognition particle RNA". From Rfam's summary of the family: The signal recognition particle (SRP) is a universally conserved ribonucleoprotein involved in the co-translational targeting of proteins to membranes. Archaeal SRP consists of a 7S RNA and homologues of the eukaryotic SRP19 and SRP54 proteins. The record is from RNAcentral. Lineage: Bacteria; Bacillati; Chloroflexota.
UCGUGCUAGACGGGGAACUAGCGGUGCCCUGAACCCGCAAACCGCUACAGCGGGGUUGAAUUCCCAUUCGAGGUACUCGUUUUUCGGGACUGUCGUCGUCAAGCGGCAUUGAAGACUGGGUCCUGCGCGGCAGAAGCCUACAAACCCCGCCAGGUUCGGAAGAAAGCAACGGUAAGUAGUCACUUCUGGGUGUUGCAGGGGAGCUUGGUCGGAGCUGGCUGGCGGCGGUAAGCCGGGGGGUUGGUAUCGACAGUGGGUGCACGA